RNAcentral lists this ribosomal RNA (492 nucleotides) under uncultured bacterium. RNAcentral describes it as "partial 16S ribosomal RNA". It matches the Rfam family "Bacterial small subunit ribosomal RNA", at positions 29 to 507 of the family's 1533-position model. The record is from RNAcentral.
AGUGAACGCUGGCGGUAGGCCUAACACAUGCAAGUCGAACGGCAGCACAGUAAGAGCUUGCUCUUACGGGUGGCGAGUGGCGGACGGGUGAGGCAUACAUCGGAAUCUACUUUUUCGUGGGGGAUAACGUAGGGAAACUUACGCUAAUACCGCAUACGUCCUACGGGUGAAAGCAGGGGAUCUUCGGACCUUGCGCGAUUGAAUGAGCCGAUGUCGGAUUAGCUAGUUGGCGGGGUAAAGGCCCACCAAGGCGACGAUCCGUAGCUGGUCUGAGAGGAUGAUCGGCCACACUGGAACUGAGACACGGUCCAGACUCCUACGGGAGGCAGCAGUGGGGAAUAUUGGACAAUGGGCGCAAGCCUGAUGCAGCCAUACCGCGUGGGUGAAGAAGGCCUUCGGGUUGUAAAGCCCUUUUGUUGGGAAAGAAAAGCAGCAGGUUAAUACCUCGCUGUUCUGACGGUACCCAAAGAAUAAGCACCGGCUAACUUCGUG